This 72-nucleotide transfer RNA is filed under the name Bos indicus (zebu cattle). It matches the Rfam family "tRNA". From Rfam's summary of the family: Transfer RNA (tRNA) molecules are approximately 80 nucleotides in length. Their secondary structure includes four short double-helical elements and three loops (D, anti-codon, and T loops). RNAcentral also lists the same sequence under 1 other name. Lineage: Eukaryota; Metazoa; Chordata; Mammalia; Artiodactyla; Bovidae. The record is from Rfam by way of RNAcentral.
UCCCUGGUGGCUCAGACGGUAAAGCGUCUGUCUACAAUGCAGGAGACCCAGGUUCAAGCCCUGGGUUGGGAA